UACAGAGGAGCCAAGCGUUGUCCGGAUUGACUGGGCGUAAAGCGCACGCAGGCGGCCUGAUAAGUAGGGGGUGAAAUCCUGCGGCUUAACCGCAGGGCUGCCUUCUAAACUGUCAGGCUGGAGCACAGUAGAGGCAGGUGGAAUUCCCGGUGUAGCGGUGGAAUGCGUAGAGAUCGGGAAGAACAUCAGUGGCGAAGGCGGCCUGCUGGGCUGUUGCUGACGCUGAGGCGCGACAGCGUGGGGAGCAAACAGG
Molecule: ribosomal RNA, 253 nt
Filed under: uncultured bacterium
Lineage: Bacteria
Description: partial 16S ribosomal RNA
Rfam family: Bacterial small subunit ribosomal RNA
Source: RNAcentral